UAUUGGACAAUGGGCGCAAGCCUGAUCCAGCAGCGCCGCGUGGAGGACGAAGGUCUUCGGAUCGUAAACUCCUGUCAGGUGGGGCGAAGGCUGCGGGGCAAAUAGUCCUGCAGCUUGACGGUACCACCAGAGGAAGCCCCGGCUAAGUUCGUGCCAGCAGCCGCGGUAAGACGAACCGUGCGAACGUUAUUCGGAAUCACUGGGCUUAAAGCGCGUGUAGGCGGAUGAGCACGUCUGUCGCUGAAAUCCCCCGGCUCAACCGGGGAACGGGCGGAGAUACGGCUCAUCUGGAGGGGCGUAGGGGGACCUGGAACUUCCGGUGGAGCGGUGAAAUGCGUUGAGAUCGGAAGGAACGCCCGUGGCGAAAGCGAGGUCCUGGACGCCUACUGACGCUGAGACGCGAAAGCCAGGGGAGCGAAC
RNAcentral lists this ribosomal RNA (420 nucleotides) under uncultured bacterium. RNAcentral's name for it is "bacterial SSU rRNA". It matches the Rfam family "Bacterial small subunit ribosomal RNA", at positions 362 to 773 of the family's 1533-position model. The record is from RNAcentral.